This 468-nucleotide ribosomal RNA is filed under the name uncultured bacterium. Its description in RNAcentral is "partial 16S ribosomal RNA". It matches the Rfam family "Bacterial small subunit ribosomal RNA", at positions 28 to 507 of the family's 1533-position model. The record is from RNAcentral.
GACGAACGCUGGCGGCGUGCUUAACACAUGCAAGUCGAACGGAAAGGCCCUGCUUUUGUGGGGUGCUCGAGUUGCGAACGGGUGAGUAACACGUGAGUAACCUGCCCUUGACUUUGGGAUAACUUCAGGAAACUGGGGCUAAUACCGGAUAGGAGCUCCUGCUGCAUGGUGGGGGUUGGAAAGUUUCGGCGGUUGGGGAUGGACUCGCGGCGUAUCAGCUUGUUGGUGGGGUAGUGGCUUACCAAGGCUUUGACGGGUAGCCGACCUGCGAGGGUGACCGGCCACAUUGGGACGGAGAUGCGGCACAGACUCCUACGGGAGGCAGCAGAGGGGUAUAUUGCACAAUGGGCGGAAGCCUGAUGCAGCAACGCCGCGUGCGGGAUGACGGCCUUCGGGUUGUAAACCGCUUUCGCCUGUGACGAAGCGUGAGUGACGGUAAUGGGUAAAGAAGCACCGGCUAACUACGUG